ACUGAACCCAGCUGCUUCUCAUUGUGGGUCAAAUUGUGCUGGACUCCUUUGUUGCUCCUCUGACUUCUGGAUUGACCUGUCCUGUUGUUUGCUGGCAGGAAGCUGCACUGCGAAGGUGGAAUUGGCGAUUUGUUUACCUGGCAGCGUGGUAAUUCACCAGUCACAGCCAUCUGACGAGCCUCUGACCAGCUUUCAACAUGGAGUGACACUUGUUGCUGUUUUGCCAAGAAAGAAAUGUUUUAAAAAAGACUUAUCUGAACUUUUCCCCUGCUGUUAGGGGCAUCUGUGGCACAAUUAAUGGGAUGCAGUGCAAUAUUGUAGUGUCAUUGUAUCACUGUUUCUUAUAUGGUUCUAAUUUUGUUUCAUUUAGGGACUGAGGCUUCUGUGGUGGCGGUGGUGACCCCUGGUGGCGGUGUUUUUGUUGUGUGUUUUGGAGCUCCCUUUCCUUGUUUGCUGUGUUUUGUAGUGUCCAGGGUGGUCCCAUUUCUUCACUAGAUGUUGCCCCUCUUCUCACCACCUUCCUUUCCAUUGGUAAGCCUCGGUUCCCAUUGAGAUUUAAACAUUUGUAUAUUUUAUUUUUUUCAAUGCAUCCACUGUUUUAACCAUUCAAGUUUAGGUUACUGUUAAAUUAAAACCAUGUAACUUUAAUAAAAUU
Fundulus heteroclitus (mummichog) is the source of this 655-nucleotide long non-coding RNA. RefSeq lists it as uncharacterized. NCBI's taxonomy places the organism in Eukaryota, Metazoa, Chordata, Actinopteri, Cyprinodontiformes, Fundulidae. The record is from RefSeq and is a predicted model, not a curated record. The transcript is spliced from 3 exons.